GGCAGAUUAUUGCAAAAGGGCACGGGGCAGAGGGACUAUGUUGUGAGCCUGCGAAAGAAGUUUGUGUGGGGACUGUGGGCAGUGAACGCGUUGGGAACAAUAUGGAAAACUGGGAGCCGCCUUGGAAUCUACAGGGCCGGAGAGACCGAGGGGCUCACUAGGUUGACCAGGCUGGUCUUGAACUCCUGGCCUCAAGCCAUCCUCCCACCUCAGCCUCCCAAAGUGCUGGGAUUACAUGCAUGAGCCACCACAUCCAGCCUACCUAAAAUAUUGAAUGCUGUUAAUAAAUCUCCUGAGGCCAGCAUAAGAAGGUGAUGGGCAAAACUAAUGCAGGUCAUCCUCCGAAUGAAUUUAUAUUACCGAGUGGAGGGUCACAUGAAGAAAAUGGUCAAACAGCACCACCUACAGCAAGAGCUGAGAAGUGCAGCGGAGCCGGGCUGAGUCAGGAAAGAAAAGCAAGCUGGGGCCUGGCUCAGCGCUCUCCCCUCUGCUCCUGUCUGCACGGAAAGAUUAGGAUGACAGUGGCAGGACGCCUGUGCACCUAGUAUGCAUCACUUGAAGGGAACACACAGAUUCCAGUAAACAGUUGGAAGGAAAUGUUAAUACCAGGCUCUGCUAAACAAUAUGAAAUGACUCCUAGAUGAGACAAGCGACUUUCAUCAAAGUUUCCUGAUACCUGAAAAGACAGCCCAGGGGAUCCUGCACUACAUCUGGUGUAUGUAAAUUAAGCGGGUUUUUUUCCCCUUUGUAAUCAAGGCUCAUACACAAACAAAAUCACACUUUAGAAACGGCCUAUUUCAACUUGUAACUAGCUUGCUUUCAGGGGCUCCAGGUCAAAAAGAAAUAGAGCACAAAGACGCUUUCUCCUUAGGGAUCAUACACAAAUUCACUCUGUCCGUUUCUUUCCCACAUGGAGCAACAAAGCCAUCAGACCUCUCCAUCCACCCAUUGGGUCCUUCCUGAUUAAAGUGAGAUAAAUCACAGCCCUCUCUCUCCAGAUGGCAGGCGACAAGAGGGGGAUGCUUGCCUCAAGAAGUCCUCCCCAUCCCUCUGCAUUCAUGCAAGCCCGAGCGGAGAGAUGCAAGAAAUUAUGGAUGCGUUUUAAUUCCCCAGACCCUGCAAUUAAAAAUGGAAAUUUUUUGGCCACGUGUAUUGGCUCACGCCUGUAAUCCCAGCACUUUCAGAGGCCGAGGUCGGCGGAUCACCUGGGGUCAGGAGUUCGAGACCAGCCUGCCCAACAUGGUGAAACCCUGUCUCUACUAAAAAUACAAAAAUUAGCUAGGAAUGGUGGUGGGCGCCUGUAGUCCCAGCUACUCGGGAGGAUGAGGCAGGAGAAUCACUUGAACCCGGGAGGCAAAGUUUGCAGUGAGCCAAGAUCACACCACUGCACUCCACUCUGGGUGACAAAGCAAGACUUCAUCUCAAAAAAUGUUUUUAAAAAA
Molecule: long non-coding RNA, 1442 nt
Filed under: Homo sapiens (human)
Lineage: Eukaryota; Metazoa; Chordata; Mammalia; Primates; Hominidae
Description: HSALNT0350766
Source: RNAcentral